Molecule: ribosomal RNA, 466 nt
Filed under: uncultured bacterium
Lineage: Bacteria
Description: partial 16S ribosomal RNA
Rfam family: Bacterial small subunit ribosomal RNA
Source: RNAcentral
GAUGAACGCUGGCGGCGUGCUUAACACAUGCAAGUCGAACGAUGAAGCUCAGCUUGCUGGGUGGAUUAGUGGCGAACGGGUGAGUAACACGUGAGUAACCUGCCCUUAACUCUGUGAUAAGCCUGGGAAACUGGGUCUAAUACCGGAUAGGAGCGUCCACCGCAUGGUGGGUGUUGGAGAGAUUUAUCGGUUUUGGAUGGACUCGCGGCCUAUCAGCUUGUUGGUGAGGUAAUGGCUCACCAAGGCGACGACGGGUAGCCGGCCUGAGAGGGUGACCGGCCACACUGGGACUGAGACACGGCCCAGACUCCUACGGGAGGCAGCAGUGGGGAAUAUUGCACAAUGGGCGCAAGCCUGAUGCAGCGACGCCGCGUGAGGGAUGACGGCCUUCGGGUUGUAAACCUCUUUCAGUAGGGAAGAAGCGAAAGUGACGGUACCUGCAGAAGAAGCACCGGCUAACUACGUG